This 216-nucleotide ribosomal RNA is filed under the name uncultured bacterium. RNAcentral describes it as "partial 16S ribosomal RNA". It matches the Rfam family "Bacterial small subunit ribosomal RNA", at positions 124 to 334 of the family's 1533-position model. The record is from RNAcentral.
UACUGCCUCUUAGCGGGGGAUAACUAUUGGAAACGAUAGCUAAUACCGCAUAAAAGUCGAUAUCGCAUGAUAUUGAUUUGAAAAGGUGCAAUUGCAUCACUAAGAGAUGGACCUGCGUUGUAUUAGCUAGUUGGUGAGGUAACGGCUCACCAAGGCGACGAUACAUAGCCGACCUGAGAGGGUGAUCGGCCACACUGGGACUGAGACACGGCCCAG